GUUUUAAUAGUUUAAAAAAAAACAAUAGUUUUGUAAACUAUUAUUAGGAUAUAAUCCUUUAAAACU
RNAcentral lists this transfer RNA (66 nucleotides) under Pyrrhopeplus carduelis. Its description in RNAcentral is "tRNA-Thr". It matches the Rfam family "tRNA". Rfam says of the family: Transfer RNA (tRNA) molecules are approximately 80 nucleotides in length. Their secondary structure includes four short double-helical elements and three loops (D, anti-codon, and T loops). Lineage: Eukaryota; Metazoa; Arthropoda; Insecta; Hemiptera; Pyrrhocoridae. The record is from RNAcentral.